Prosopis cineraria is the source of this 2771-nucleotide long non-coding RNA. RefSeq lists it as uncharacterized. The record is from RefSeq and is a predicted model, not a curated record. NCBI's taxonomy places the organism in Eukaryota, Viridiplantae, Streptophyta, Magnoliopsida, Fabales, Fabaceae. The transcript has 2 exons.
UCUCUCUAAAGUUGAAUAUCUGUUCUUCUAUCUCUGAAACUAGUCUUUCUUCUUCUACCUUUACUUUUCCAGCAAUCUUUCUUCCUUUCUCUUUUCCUUCAGAUUCCUAUUAGAACCUUCCCUUCUCAUAUAUAAUUACUGUAUAGUGCUCUUGCAUAGUUCACGAAAUCAUCUCACAGCUACCUGAUGAGUUUUUAUCUGUGUUUUUGUUUAUGUGCGUGUGUGUUCGAGAUCUUCUAGGUACAUGUAGGUAGCUAGACCCGAUUGCCACCUAACAUUCAUCGUACACACAAACACAUAAUCCACAUGAAUCCACCCAAUACUAUAGUUGGUUGAACCUUCUGUUAAUUCUUGCGGUUCAUAUUUUGUUCUUCUUCCUCCUCCUCCUCCUUCCCUUUAAGCUUAUUUUAAACCCUCUCUCUCUCUCUCUGUUCACACACACAUACUAUUUUCCAUUGAACCGUAUAUUCUUUUAGGGUUCCUCAGGUAAUCCUAUUUCGGAGAUAUCUACAAUAUUGUCGACCUUCUUUCUUUGGGGUUAUGCUAUUUCAACCCAAGAUUUGAAAGAUCAGUGGUUUAAUGUAUGAUUAGCAGAUCAGAUAACGUUCAUAUAUGCAUACGUAUAUAUAUUGGAGGAAAUUUCUGGAAGCUUCCAUAUGGGUGCGUUUGAUUCGAUCAAGUCAUUGUUUGCAGGUGCAUCAUCAUCAAGAUUCACACACAGAAUCUUUGGUUCUCACAGGUGUCUUGAGAAUCUUGAUGAUGCUGCAUCAGCAAUAAAUGAUUAAUAUUAACUUCUUUCUCAUGAUUAAUUACGAGCUCAGUCACUCCUCUGCUUCAAUAUUUUGUAUUAGGCGAUCGAUUAUAUGUUCUUAAUUUAGGGUUUUAAAAUUUAAAUGAUGUAAUUAACAAGAAAUUGAAUCUCCAUGAAGUGCCGUAUAUCUCUGUCACUGCAUAUACUUGUGGGUGUUUCUUUUUUCAGGUUUAAUUAUCCUUUGCGGAAGAUACGAGGUUUACGAAAUCUUAGGUUUAUUGUUCUUGUCAAUGUACAGGUACAGAACGUUGGGAAAAAUAAAAAAUGUACAGGUACAGAACUGUUUUAUAUAUAAGAAUAGAAAACCAUGAAAGCCUAUCAAUAUAUGUUUGCUGAAGAAAUUUACCUAUUGGUGGGUUGUUAAUUACUUUAACCAGAUCCUCAUUUCGUCUCUGAAGAAAACUAAAUCUAUCUUCUUCUGGUAUGUUAUGAUCCACAUAAAAAUGCUAUAUCUGCAGUAUCUAAAUAACUAAAUAACCUAGAAUGUGAUUAUUAUUUAAUCAUUUACAUUUGUACAUGUCUAUUAUCUAUAUAUAUGCAUCCUGCUCGGCCUGGUGAUUGGUUAUAGCUUGCUGUUUCACCAUCAGUUAGCAGUACUUAUUGUGCUGAUCAUGAACAUUAAUAUAAUUACAAGUGAGUUCAUCAUCAGUAAUUGAAUAUUAAUCCCAAAUUGAAGUUGGUAUCUAAUUAAUUAAUGUUGCUUCAUCAAUUAUUGAGUUUUGGUGCAAUCGAGUAACACUUGAAUGUGUGCUGUACCUGGAUACUCAAUUAUAUCUCAUUUCCAUUAUGAAUGUGUACUUGAUGAGUAUCAGUCAAAUGACUUGAGAUACCUUGUGUCACUUUGUAAAAACAAAACAAAAAGAACAAGAAAGUAAUAAAUUGAAAGUUGAAGAACCAAAAUAUAUAUAUAUAUAUAUAUAUUUACCACAGUUCAUCAUUCUUAACCUGACCUUUUACCACUUACCACAAGAAACACUGCACCGAGGAAUAUUAUUAUUGAUUGAGUUUCUCUGUGCUAAAUAAAGCCAAAACAAGGGGUAAAGUAUAAUCAAGUGAUUAAAGUACUUAAUUAUAAGUGAAAAAGAGAGAUGUGCAGUGAGGCAACAGCUAAUAGAUCACAUGUAAGCAUGAGACAGCACCAACCACAUAUAUAUACCAAACAAAAAUGCAACACAACAACAACUAAACUACUCAUCUUUGGCUCUCUCUCUCUCUCUCUCUCACACACACACACAAGAGCAUAAUUACUUUGGGUAUUAUACACACACAUAGUUUCUCCCAAUUAAAUGAUUAUACAUAUCCAGAUAUGCCAGCUAUCAUUUACUCAAGAGUGUGCAUUUAUACACACUGAAUUAGAGCUGUCAAAAUGAAUCAGAACUCGCUAAUUUGAUUAUUAGAGACUUCCUUUAAAAUUUAUAAUCAAACAAAUUCAUCUCUUUUGAGCGGGAAGUUAUAUGAGCUAACUUGCGAGUUAAGUGGGUUGGCUCUUUUAACUCACUAUGAUAUUAAAAAAAAAUUAAAGAUCUUUUUGUAUAUUGGCUUUUAAGUUUUGAAUGAGUAUAGAAGUUCUCUUUUUCUAGAUAAUGUGCCCGAGCUCUUAUAUAUUGUCUAUGCUCACAAAGUCACGAUUGACUACAUGGUUUACAAUAUAAUGAUAUAGAUUGUAAUUUUUUACUAUGUGUUUUGGUAGUUAUGCUUAACUUUCUUAUCCUUCCUUUAAUUUUUAUUAUUAUUCAAUUACAGAAGAUGUUUUGCAUGGCGGAGCAGGAGAUAUUGGUAUAUAUAGAUGAUGGCAAUGCUGCAUCUAGAAGAGAAAUUGCGAAUGUUGUUGAAGUUUAACCAAGGCAUUAAUUCGAUCUAGGAUAUUUGAACAUUUCUAAUUUUUUGUGUUAGAAAUUAGAAAAUAAACUGUUGAAGGAUAUAUAUUUAUUUUUUAAGUUACAAAUUUUUAGAGAGUAAA